GACGAACACUGGCGGCAUGCCUAACACAUGCAAGUCGAGCGAGCAGAUCCCUUCGGGGUGAAGCUAGCGGCGGACGGGUGAGUAACACGUGGGCAACCUGCCUCAUAGAGGGGAAUAGCCUUCCGAAAGGAAGAUUAAUACCGCAUAAGAUUGUAGCUUCGCAUGAAGCAGCAAUUAAAGGAGCAAUCCGCUAUGAGAUGGGCCCGCGGCGCAUUAGCUAGUUGGUGGGGUAACGGCUCACCAAGGCGACGAUGCGUAGCCGACCUGAGAGGGUGAUCGGCCACAUUGGGACUGAGACACGGCCCAGACUCCUACGGGAGGCAGCAGUGGGGAAUAUUGCACAAUGGGGGAAACCCUGAUGCAGCAAUGCCGCGUGAGUGAUGACGGCCUUCGGGUUGUAAAGCUCUGUCUUCGGGGACGAUAAUGACGGUACCCGAGGAGGAAGCCACGGCUAACUACGUGCCAGCCGCCGCAGUAA
RNAcentral lists this ribosomal RNA (478 nucleotides) under uncultured bacterium. RNAcentral describes it as "partial 16S ribosomal RNA". It matches the Rfam family "Bacterial small subunit ribosomal RNA", at positions 28 to 523 of the family's 1533-position model. The record is from RNAcentral.